Molecule: long non-coding RNA, 201 nt
Filed under: Elaeis guineensis (African oil palm)
Lineage: Eukaryota; Viridiplantae; Streptophyta; Magnoliopsida; Arecales; Arecaceae
Description: long non-coding RNA (EGUI_LNC058361)
Source: RNAcentral
GGUGGCUUGCCAGCUUGACCGAAGUAAAGUGUGGAUGCAUGCAUGGGCAUGCCACUGUAGUUGAGCUAGCUGGAAAGAUGUUGGUCAAAUGGAGGAUAGAGAGUAGCAUAGAUCCAGAUAUUUUGACCUUCACAAAUUUUUCACCAUUGUCACACCAUCUUUUAAAGGAGAUUACGAUGGAUAUGGUGUAGCUGAGUUACG